GUGUGACUUUUUCAGAAGGUGAGUUACGCGUUCCGGGCAGUCAGUGCACUGCUCAGCAGGAGGAGGUCCUGCAGGUGGUGCUGCAAGGGGUCGGCUGGCCGCAGGGGGACUGCACAGACACAGGCUGGCAGCAGGUGGUGGCUCAGCAGGAGGAGGUCCUGCAGGUGGUGCUGCAAGGGGUCGGCUGGCCGCAGGGAGGCCGGCAGCAGGGGGACUGCACAGACACAGGCUGGCAGCAGGUGGUGCUGCAAGGGGUCGGCUGGCCGCAGGGGGGCCGGCAGCAGGGGGACUGCACAGACACAGGCUGGCAGCAGGUGGUGGCCCAGCAGCAGGGCCUGCACACC
RNAcentral lists this long non-coding RNA (344 nucleotides) under Homo sapiens (human). RNAcentral describes it as "HSALNT0389742". The record is from RNAcentral. Lineage: Eukaryota; Metazoa; Chordata; Mammalia; Primates; Hominidae.